RNAcentral lists this ribosomal RNA (269 nucleotides) under uncultured Planctomycetales bacterium. Its description in RNAcentral is "partial 16S ribosomal RNA". It matches the Rfam family "Bacterial small subunit ribosomal RNA", at positions 565 to 832 of the family's 1533-position model. Lineage: Bacteria; Pseudomonadati; Planctomycetota; Planctomycetia; Planctomycetales. The record is from RNAcentral.
GAGCACGUAGGUGGGUUUGUAAGUCAGAUGUGAAAGCCUUCUGUUCAACGGAAGAAUUGCAUCUGAAACUACAAACCUUGAGUGUAGGAGGGGAGAAUGGAACUUCUGGUGGAGCGGUGAAAUGCGUAGAUAUCAGAAGGAACGCCGGCGGCGAAAGCGAUUCUCUGGCCUAUAACUGACACUCAGUGUGCGAAAGCUAGGGGAGCAAACGGGAUUAGAUACCCCGGUAGUCCUAGCCGUAAACGAUGGGCACUAAGUAGAGGGGUUUU